RNAcentral lists this ribosomal RNA (462 nucleotides) under uncultured bacterium. RNAcentral's name for it is "partial 16S ribosomal RNA". It matches the Rfam family "Bacterial small subunit ribosomal RNA", at positions 28 to 507 of the family's 1533-position model. The record is from RNAcentral.
GACGAACGCUGGCGGCGUGCUUAACACAUGCAAGUCGAACGGAAAGGCCCUUCGGGGUACUCGAGUGGCGAACGGGUGAGUAACACGUGGGUGAUCUGCCCUGCACUUUGGGAUAAGCCUGGGAAACUGGGUCUAAUACCGAAUAUGAUCAUCGGCUUCAUGGUCGGUGGUGGAAAGCUUUUGCGGUGUGGGAUGGGCCCGCGGCCUAUCAGCUUGUUGGUGGGGUAAUGGCCUACCAAGGCGACGACGGGUAGCCGGCCUGGGAGGGUGACCGGCCACACUGGGACUGAGGUACGGCCCAGACGCCAACGGGAGGCAGCAGUGGAGAAUAUUACACAAUGGGCGCAAGCCUGAUGCAGCGACGCCGCGUGAGGGAUAACGGCCUUCGGGUUGAAAACCUCUUUCAGCACAAACGAAGCGCAAGUGACGGUAUGUUCAGGAGAAGGACCGGCCAACUACGUG